RNAcentral lists this long non-coding RNA (211 nucleotides) under Elaeis guineensis (African oil palm). RNAcentral describes it as "long non-coding RNA (EGUI_LNC058890)". Lineage: Eukaryota; Viridiplantae; Streptophyta; Magnoliopsida; Arecales; Arecaceae. The record is from RNAcentral.
UCUUAACUCCGAUCCUUCAAGAAUCAAAAAUAAAUUCUUAAUCCUUCUCAAGUAGUUAAGAAUAUUUUCACUGUAAUUCAGCACUCCUAGCCUAGAUUCGACUGAUAUCUGCUCGUGACACUAACAGCAAAGACUAUAUCAAAUUAAGUACAUAGCAUGGCAUACUCUUAUGCCUAAGAGGGCAGCAGAUCUCUCUUAUAAUUUUUUAUGC